UCCCUCAGAGAGUUUCAAUCAUU
Molecule: microRNA, 23 nt
Filed under: Cavia porcellus (domestic guinea pig)
Lineage: Eukaryota; Metazoa; Chordata; Mammalia; Rodentia; Caviidae
Description: cpo-miR-509e-5p
Gene: cpo-miR-509e-5p
Source: miRBase by way of RNAcentral